RNAcentral lists this ribosomal RNA (544 nucleotides) under uncultured bacterium. Its description in RNAcentral is "bacterial SSU rRNA". It matches the Rfam family "Bacterial small subunit ribosomal RNA", at positions 966 to 1509 of the family's 1533-position model. The record is from RNAcentral.
GAACCUUACCUGGCCUUGACAUACUAAGAACUUUCCAGAGAUGGAUUGGUGCCUUCGGGAACUUAGAUACAGGUGCUGCAUGGCUGUCGUCAGCUCGUGUCGUGAGAUGUUGGGUUAAGUCCCGCAACGAGCGCAACCCUUUUCCUUAUUUGCCAGCGGGUAAUGCCGGGAACUUUAAGGAUACUGCCAGUGACAAACUGGAGGAAGGCGGGGACGACGUCAAGUCAUCAUGGCCCUUACGGCCAGGGCUACACACGUGCUACAAUGGUCGGUACAAAGGGUUGCUACCUCGCGAGAGGACGCUAAUCUCAAAAAGCCGAUCGUAGUCCGGAUCGCAGUCUGCAACUCGACUGCGUGAAGUCGGAAUCGCUAGUAAUCGCGGAUCAGAAUGCCGCGGUGAAUACGUUCCCGGGCCUUGUACACACCGCCCGUCACACCAUGGGAGUUUGUUACACCAGAAGUAGGUAGUCUAACCGCAAGGAGGACGCUUACCACGGUGUGGCCGAUGACUGGGGUGAAGUCGUAACAAGGUAAGCGUAGAUGA